GACGAACGCUGGCGGCGUGCUUAACACAUGCAAGUCGAACGGAAAGGCCCUGCUUUUGUGGCGUGCUCGAUUGGCGAAGGGGUGAGUAACACGUGAGUAACCUGCCCUUGACUUUGGGAUAACUUCAGGAGACUGGGGCUCAUACCGGAUAGGAGCUCCUGCUGCAUGGUGGGGGUUGGAAAGUUUCGGCGGUUGGGGAUGGACUCGCGGGUUAUCGGCUUGUUGGGUGAGUAGUGGCUUACCAGGGGUUCGACGGGUAGGCGGCCUUAGAGGGUGACCGGCCACAUGGCUACUGCGAGACGCCCCAGUCGCCAACGGGAGGCAGCAGUGGGGAACAUGGCACAAUGGGCGGAAGCCUGUUGCAGCAGCCUCGCGUGCGUGAUGCUGGGCUUCGGGUGGUAAACCGCUGUCUCCUGUGACGAAGCGGUAUUGACGGUAAUGGGUAAAGAAGCACCGGCUAACUACGUG
Molecule: ribosomal RNA, 468 nt
Filed under: uncultured bacterium
Lineage: Bacteria
Description: partial 16S ribosomal RNA
Rfam family: Bacterial small subunit ribosomal RNA
Source: RNAcentral